UGGGGAAUAUUGCGCAAUGGGCGAAAGCCUGACGCAGCAACGCCGCGUGAGGGAUGAAGGCCUUCGGGUUGUAAACCUCUUUUAGCAGGGAAGAAGCGAAAGUGACGGUACCUGCAGAAAAAGCACCGGCUAACUACGUGCCAGCAGCCGCGGUAAUACGUAGGGUGCAAGCGUUAUCCGGAAUUAUUGGGCGUAAAGAGCUCGUAGGCGGUUUGUCGCGUCUGCUGUGAAAAUCUGAGGCUCAACCUCGGACUUGCAGUGGGUACGGGCAGACUAGAGUGCAGUAGGGGAGAAGGGAAUUCCUGGUGUAGCGGUGGAAUGCGCAGAUAUCAGGAGGAACACCAAUGGCGAAGGCACUUCUCUGGGCUGUAACUGACGCUGAGGAGCGAAAGCGUGGGGA
RNAcentral lists this ribosomal RNA (400 nucleotides) under uncultured bacterium. RNAcentral describes it as "bacterial SSU rRNA". It matches the Rfam family "Bacterial small subunit ribosomal RNA", at positions 355 to 767 of the family's 1533-position model. The record is from RNAcentral.